Molecule: ribosomal RNA, 498 nt
Filed under: uncultured bacterium
Lineage: Bacteria
Description: partial 16S ribosomal RNA
Rfam family: Bacterial small subunit ribosomal RNA
Source: RNAcentral
AUUGAACGCUGGCGGCAUGCCUUACACAUGCAAGUCGAACGGUAACAGGUCUUCGGAUGCUGACGAGUGGCGAACGGGUGAGUAAUACAUCGGAACGUGCCUAGUAGUGGGGGAUAACUACUCGAAAGAGUAGCUAAUACCGCAUGAGAUCUACGGAUGAAAGCAGGGGACCUUCGGGCCUUGUGCUACUAGAGCGGCUGAUGGCAGAUUAGGUAGUUGGUGGGGUAAAGGCUUACCAAGCCUGCGAUCUGUAGCAGGUCUGAGAGGACGACCAGCCACACUGGGACUGAGACACGGCCCAGACUCCUACGGGAGGCAGCAGUGGGGAAUUUUGGACAAUGGGCGAAAGCCUGAUCCAGCAAUGCCGCGUGCAGGAUGAAGGCCCUCGGGUUGUAAACUGCUUUUGUACGGAACGAAAAGCCUGGGGCUAAUAUCCCCGGGUCAUGACGGUACCGUAAGAAUAAGCACCGGCUAACUACGUGCCAGCCGCCGCGGUAA